GGGGCUGUGGCUUAGUGGUAGAGCACUUGCCUGGCAUGUAUGAGGCACUGGGUACGAUUCUCAGUUCCA
RNAcentral lists this transfer RNA (69 nucleotides) under Ictidomys tridecemlineatus (thirteen-lined ground squirrel). RNAcentral's name for it is "Spermophilus tridecemlineatus (thirteen-lined ground squirrel) tRNA". It matches the Rfam family "tRNA". Rfam says of the family: Transfer RNA (tRNA) molecules are approximately 80 nucleotides in length. Their secondary structure includes four short double-helical elements and three loops (D, anti-codon, and T loops). Lineage: Eukaryota; Metazoa; Chordata; Mammalia; Rodentia; Sciuridae. The record is from Rfam by way of RNAcentral.